This 262-nucleotide long non-coding RNA is filed under the name Nicotiana benthamiana. RNAcentral describes it as "long non-coding RNA (NBEN_LNC023396)". The record is from RNAcentral. Lineage: Eukaryota; Viridiplantae; Streptophyta; Magnoliopsida; Solanales; Solanaceae.
CACAGUGUGUCCUGAAUUUUAACAGAAUUGUGAGAAAAUUGAGCUCCAAAUGAUCAAAUUCAGCAAUGACAAUAGUUUUAGAUGUGGAAUAAGUAUUUCAGCUCUACUUCUUGAGGAGAAAGGUUUCGGAUUGAUAGCUUUUAGUAUUAAGGAUAAAGAUUUCUGGAUCCAUUUCUAAUGCCCCAAAGGAUUCAAUUUAUAACAAAAAUCCUAGGGCAUCAGAUUUUACUAGUUUUUCUUUUAGUCCUCAAUUCAGCUUGUG